UUGUAAUCUGGCUCUUUCAGAGUCCGAGUUGUAGUCUCGAGAAGCAACAUCCGCAUCGGACCUUGGGUAUGUCUGUUGGAAAACAGCGUCGUAGAGGGUGACAAUCCCGUUUGUACCAAGGACGACCGCGUGCAUUGUGGUGUGCUUUCCAAGAGUCGAGUUGUUUGGGAAUGCAGCUCAAAUUGGGUGGUAAAUUCCAUCUAAAGCUAAAUAUUGGCGAGAGACCGAUAGCGAACAAGUACCGUGAGGGAAAGAUGAAAAGCACUUUGGAAAGAGAAUGAAACAGUAUGUGAAAUUGCUGGAAGGGAAACGAUUGAAGUUAGACUUGCGUGGGCCCCACUCAGCCUUUUUGGUGUACUUGGGGCCCGUUGCAGGCCAGCAUCGGUUUGCUUCGCGGAAUAAGGGUGCGCGGGAUGUGGCUUCUUUUGAAGUGUUAUAAACGCGCACUGGAUGCCGAGUCGCAGACCGAGGAACGCAGCGUG
Molecule: ribosomal RNA, 482 nt
Filed under: Ballistosporomyces xanthus
Lineage: Eukaryota; Fungi; Basidiomycota; Agaricostilbomycetes; Agaricostilbales; Chionosphaeraceae
Description: LSU rRNA
Rfam family: Eukaryotic large subunit ribosomal RNA
Source: RNAcentral